ACACGUGGAUAACCUACCUAUAAGACUGGGAUAACUUCGGGAAACCGUAGCUAAUACCGGAUAAUAUUUUGAACCGCAUGGUUCAAAAGUGAAAGACGGUCUUGCUGUCACUUAUAGAUGGAUCCGCGCUGCAUUAGCUAGUUGGUAAGGUAACGGCUUACCAAGGCAACGAUGCAUAGCCGACCUGAGAGGGUGAUCGGCCACACUGGAACUGAGACACGGUCCAGACUCCUACGGGAGGCAGCAGUAGGGAAUCUUCCGCAAUGGGCGAAAGCCUGACGGAGCAACGCCGCGUGAGUGAUGAAGGUCUUCGGAUCGUAAAACUCUGUUAUUAGGGAAGAACAUAUGUGUAAGUAACUGUGCACAUCUUGACGGUACCUAAUCAGAAAGCCACGGCUAACUACGUGCCAGCAGCCGCGGUAAUACGUAGGUGGCAAGCGUUAUCCGGAAUUAUUGGGCGUAAAGCGCGCGUAGGCGGUUUUUUAAGUCUGAUGUGAAAGCCCACGGCUCAACCGUGGAGGGUCAUUGGAAACUGGAAAACUUGAGUGCAAAAGAGGAAAGUGGAAUUCCAUGUGUAGCGGUGAAAUGCGCAGAGAUAUGGAGGAACACCAGUGGCGAAGGCGACUUUCUGGUCUGUAACUGACGCUGAUGUGCGAAAGCGUGGGGAUCAAACAGGAUUAGAUACCCUGGUAGUCCACGCCGUAAACGAUGAGUGCUAAGUGUUAGGGGGUUUCCGCCCCUUAGUGCUGCAGCUAACGCAUUAAGCACUCCGCCUGGGGAGUACGACCGCA
RNAcentral lists this ribosomal RNA (791 nucleotides) under uncultured Staphylococcus sp. RNAcentral describes it as "bacterial SSU rRNA". It matches the Rfam family "Bacterial small subunit ribosomal RNA", at positions 113 to 890 of the family's 1533-position model. Lineage: Bacteria; Bacillati; Bacillota; Bacilli; Caryophanales; Staphylococcaceae. The record is from RNAcentral.